GACAGAGGGGGCAAGCGUUGCUCGGAAUCACUGGGCGUAAAGAGCGCGCAGGCGGUCGAUCAAGUCGAGUGUGAAAGCCCCCGGCUCAACUGGGGAGGGUCAUUCGAUACUGAUCGACUCGAAGGCAGGAGAGGGUAGUGGAAUUCCCGGUGUAGUGGUGAAAUGCGUAGAUAUCGGGAGGAACACCAGUGGCGAAGGCGACUACCUGGCCUGUUCUUGACGCUGAGGCGCGAAAGCUAGGGGAGCAAACGGG
RNAcentral lists this ribosomal RNA (253 nucleotides) under uncultured bacterium. RNAcentral's name for it is "partial 16S ribosomal RNA". It matches the Rfam family "Bacterial small subunit ribosomal RNA", at positions 524 to 776 of the family's 1533-position model. The record is from RNAcentral.